RNAcentral lists this ribosomal RNA (1246 nucleotides) under Triticum aestivum (bread wheat). RNAcentral's name for it is "partial small subunit ribosomal RNA". Lineage: Eukaryota; Viridiplantae; Streptophyta; Magnoliopsida; Poales; Poaceae. The record is from RNAcentral.
GUACAGUACAACACUUCGCUUCGCUCCCUUCCGUUUCCCACGUGCGACUUGCUUGCCAGUUGCCCCAGUCGAGUCGCGCCGCCGAGAAGAACAGGCAGGCAGGAGGAGUAGGCGAGUGGCCAACGACUCCCUCCUCCUCCACCUCCCCCCUUCGCACCACGGGUCUCCACCGAGACCAAGCACACGCCAUUCCCCUCCUCUCCCCCGAGCUCCGAGAGAUCCCCAGACCCUACGCGCGAGUUCCCAUGGCGGCAACCCAGCUCCGCGGAUCGGCGGUGCCGGGGACGGCGAGGAGGUGGCGGGCUCCCUCCGGCGCCAUCCUCCGCUUCGCGCCGCUCGCCACGUCCAGGCUCCCAGCAGCGUCUCUUCGUCGGAGGGGAGCCUUCAGUGGCCUUUCCGCCAGUGUCACCAGGGAGCUUAUCGCCUUGCAGUCAUUGACUACAAUGUGCAUGAAGUCAAAAUGUACUAGCACUCCCAUUGAUCAUGCCACUGCUCCUGAGCAUACAGAAGAUGAAGUUCCCGAGCCAACCGCUGUGGUGACUGCUAGUGAAGAGAUAAAUAUAGACCAGGAAGUUGCUCCGCCACAUAAGAGUGCUAUAAUACAUGAUUUCUGCCUAGGGAUCCCUUUUGGUGGAUUAUUAUUUUCCAUGGGCCUUGUUGGAUUUCUAUUUUGGAGGAGUCCUGUAAGUCUUACUUUUGGCGUUGCACCUGGUCUUGCUAUAUUGGGACUUGCCGUGCUUAGUCUUAAGGGUUGGAGGAGUGGAAAGUCCAGCUUGCCAUUUAUACUGGCACAAGCAGCUGUUGCUGCUGCUGUAGCAUGGAAGCACUGCCAGGCGUAUGCCACAACAAAGAAGCUGCUUCCCUGGGGCUUUUAUACUGCGCUCAGUGUCUUGAUGAUCUGCUUCUACUCGUACGUGUUGCUUGCCGGGGGGAAUCCACCACCAAAGAAGAAGCCAGCAGCUGCUAUAUAAGUUGAGCCUUUAACUCCUAUUGUUGUUGAAGUUGUGCUCUGGUAAAUGUUACUGAUGAUAGGGGUUGCGUUUUAUUACUUUUAAUUGUAGAACACUGAAAAAUAAUAAAGUUGUGUUCUUGCGUACAGUUUAUUUGGGUAUCUUUGUUACUUAAUGGAAGAGUCAGAGAAGAUACGAUUUGCUCUGGUUCUACAUGAACUUUUGUUCCUGAACAUUGCGCUUAUACCUUAAUAAAAUGUAGCUUUGUUGAUCCUGAAAAGAUAUUGAUCAGAUUG